AUCCCACGGCCUUUGAUAUAUACGUCGUGGUGCACUGACUGGAACGAGAAAUAGCCCAAUGGGCCCACCGGUGGGGAUUGAUCCCACAUUGAGCGAACGCUGUACCACUGGGCUACAUCCUGCCCCCGCCCCACAAAUGAUAACUACAGCGAGGUAUUAUUACUGAAUGCUAGGUUUCGACACAAAUGAUAACUACAGCGAGGUAUUAUUACUGAAUGCUAGGUUUCGACACAAAUGAUAACUACAGCGAGGUAUUAUUACUGAAUGCUAGGUUUCGACACAAAUGAUAACUACAGCGAGGUAUUAUUACUGAAUGCUAGGUUUCGACACAAAUGAUAACUACAGCGAGGUAUUAUUACAGAAUGCUAGGUUUCGACACAAAUGAUAACUACAGCGAGGUAUUAUGACUGAAUGCUAGGUUUCGACACAAAUGAUAACUACAGCGAGGUAUUAUGACUGAAUGCUAGGUUUCGACACAAAUGAUAACUACAGCGAGGCAUUAUUACUGAAUGCUAGGUUUCGACACAAAUGAUAACUACAGCGAGGUAUUAUUACUGAAUGCUAGGUUUCGACACAAAUGAUAACUACAGCGAGGUAUUAUUACUGAAUGCUAGGUUUCGACACAAAUGAUAACUACAGCGAGGUAUUAUUACUGAAUGCUAGGUUUCGACACAAAUGAUAACUACAGCGAGGCAUUAUUACUGAAUGCUAGGUUUCGACACAAAUGAUAACUACAGCGAGGUAUUAUUACUGAAUGCUAGGUUUCGACACAAAAUGAUAACUACAGCGAGGUAUUAUUACUGAAUGCUAGGUUUCGACACAAAUGAUAACUACAGCGAGGUAUUAUUACUGAAUGCUAGGUUUCGACACAAAAUGAUAACUACAGCGAGGUAUUAUUACUGAAUGCUAGGUUUCGACACAAAUGAUAACUACAGCGAGGUAUUAUUACUGAAUGCUAGGUUUCGACACAAAUGAUAACUACAGCGAGGUAUUAUUACAGAAUGCUAGGUUUCGACACAAAUGAUAACUACAGCGAGGUAUUAUUACUGAAUGCUAGGUUUCGACACAAAUGAUAACUACAGCGAGGUAUUAUUACUGAAUGCUAGGUUUUGACACAAAACAUAUAAAGUACUUUAAGGAAAACUUCAUUCAGAACAAAGAAUGUUCAGUUAUGUAGUGGGACAGGGAGUCCAACAUUGGUGGAAUUCAGAAUUGAACCUUCCAUCACGUAGCAGUAUACUAACGUCAUCAGAGCACUGGUUGGAAUGAGAAAAUUAAUCUUCUGAAUAGAUUCACAGAGGUGGUUAAAUCCUGCAAUGCAAUAGAGUAGCAAUAGAGUAAGCGAGCACUUAACUGACGGCUAAAUCCCACCCAAAAACCUUGAUAUAGCCAGAAGAUGGGAGGGAAAACACAAUAAAUUGUGUAAAAUUGGCUUUCCGUUCAAUGCCAUAAUUGCUGGAAUCCAUUAGAAAGUUUUUUGGUAGUCAUGGACUUUGUUCAAUGAAAAUGGGAAACAGACUUUUGGUUCCAUGAUCUUGCCUAUAUGCUGCAGGAAAUGAUAAAGUUUUCAUUAAAACUUAUUUCACAGUCCUCCGUACAUUUGAAACCAGUGAUUGUUUUUAGAACAUCACUCGAUAACACAUUAAUGCACAUGCUUCCAUAUAUUAUUGUGAUUUCACAUAUCGGUAAAAGGAAAAGUGGCCAUAUAUUAAACAGAUUCAAGAAUUCUAUGGUUUCAUUCACACAGUACUAAACUUGUUUAGCGAUAUGUCUUUCAGUGGAUCAAGUGGAAAAAAUAUUUAAAAGUUUUAUAGUGGAUGAAUAUAUCCAACACCAUAGCACUGAUUCUAGUGCCGUUAGUAUAAUCUUUCAACAAAAGGUCAUUUUCAUUGCAAAAUUAUCAUUUUAUAUUGAUUUUCCUCUUUUUUUUUGUAAGAGUGAACUUUUAUAUGAAAUGGUAGCAGUUUUAAUAUUCUGUGUUUGACCAAGAUAAAAAGUGUCACUCUUUAUAACUCCAAAAUAUUAUUUCACACAGGAAAUAAAUUUGAUCUGAAAUGGUUGCUCAUUUAAUCUAUCAUGAAAGACAAAUUAUUUCAACUAAAAAUUAAUCCAAGAAUGAAAAAAAAAAAAAAAAACACAAAUUCAUUUAUUAGAAUUUAUUUGAUGAACAUGAUUGAUUUGAAAGAUGAUGUGGGGGACAAAAUGUUUGCAUGCUGUGGUCUUUCUUUUACAUCAUCUUUCGUCCAGUGGGCAUGCAGCCAUUUGUGAACGAAGAUUCAUAGAGAAAGAGAACAGCAACCACUGCAGACACUUCAUCCUGUUCAUUCAGCACCAG
This 2335-nucleotide long non-coding RNA is filed under the name Gigantopelta aegis. Its description in RNAcentral is "uncharacterized LOC121369260". The record is from RNAcentral. Lineage: Eukaryota; Metazoa; Mollusca; Gastropoda; Neomphalida; Peltospiridae.